AUAUAAUGGUGUACACCAUCACGUAUACUAUUAAAUUAACCAUAAUGGUGUAUACCAUUAAAUGAAAGUAAUGAUUAUACAUUUUUACUUAUGUACACUAACAUUUGUACACUUUUAUGUACACUAAUCUCAUAUUAUUAUUAUUUAAACUUUGUUUUGUAUAUUAUCACUUGACAAAAAUGGUUUUAUCUUUUGAAUAUGAGGUGUACACAAUAGGUGAAGGUGUACGAUAUUAUAGACGGUGUAGAAGGUGAUUUAUGGUUUGAUUUAUUAUCUCAUUAUUGCAUGUAUACUAUUAAUAUCAUGUACACCAUAUUUUACAUUUUCGUACACCAUCUUAUUAUGUAGUUGUACAUCGUUGUAUAUUAUCGUUUGUACAUCACUUUGUACACUGUCUAUACCGUAUACCACUUCUUAGAACAAUAUUAUACAUUAUCGUUGUACACUAUUAUUUGUACACCAUUUUUUACAAUAUAGCAAAAUAUAGCAAAAUUAUUAUCAAAAUAAAAGUAUU
Molecule: small RNA, 514 nt
Filed under: Arabidopsis thaliana (thale cress)
Lineage: Eukaryota; Viridiplantae; Streptophyta; Magnoliopsida; Brassicales; Brassicaceae
Description: ATSL213590
Source: RNAcentral